Molecule: ribosomal RNA, 416 nt
Filed under: uncultured bacterium
Lineage: Bacteria
Description: bacterial SSU rRNA
Rfam family: Bacterial small subunit ribosomal RNA
Source: RNAcentral
GAGUUGUUGGGUUAAGUCCCGCAACGAGCGCAACCCUUAAGUUUAGUUGCCAUCAUUAAGUUGGGCACUCUAGACUGACUGCCGGUGACAAACCGGAGGAAGGUGGGGACGACGUCAAAUCGUCAUGCCCCUUAUGAUUUGGGCUACACACGUGCUACAAUGGACAGGUUACAAAGGGCAGCAACGCCGCGAGGCCAAGCGAAUCCCAUAAAACUGUUCUCAGUUCGGAUUGGAGUCUGCAACUCGACUCCAUGAAGCUGGAAUCGCUAGUAAUCGUAGAUCAGCAUGCUACGGUGAAUACGUUCCCGGGUCUUGUACACACCGCCCGUCACACCACGGAAGUCGAUAACACCUGAAGCCGGUGGGCCAACCAUUUAUGGAGGCAGCCGUCGAAGGUGGGAUGGAUGACUGGGGUG